GAUGAACGCUGGCGGCGUGCCUAAUACAUGCAAGUCGAGCGAACAGACGAGGAGCUUGCUCCUCUGACGUUAGCGGCGGGCGGGUGAGUAACACGUGGAUAACCUACCUAUAAGACUGGGAUAACUUCGGGAAACCGGAGCUAAUACCGGAUAAUAUGUUGAACCGCAUGGUUCAACAGUGAAAGACGGUCUUGCUGUCACUUAUAGAUGGAUCCGCGCCGCAUUAGCUAGUUGGUAAGGUAACGGCUUACCAAGGCAACGAUGCGUAGCCGACCUGAGAGGGUGAUCGGCCACACUGGAACUGAGACACGGUCCAGACUCCUACGGGAGGCAGCAGUAGGGAAUCUUCGGCAAUGGGCGAAAGCCUGACGGAGCAACGCCGCGUGAGUGAAGAAGGUCUUCGGAUCGUAAAGCUCUGUUAUUGGGGAAGAACAGAUGUAUAUGUAAAUCUGGACGUCUUGACGGUACCUAAUCAGAAAGCAACGGCUAACUUCGUG
Molecule: ribosomal RNA, 497 nt
Filed under: uncultured bacterium
Lineage: Bacteria
Description: partial 16S ribosomal RNA
Rfam family: Bacterial small subunit ribosomal RNA
Source: RNAcentral